Molecule: non-coding RNA, 101 nt
Organism: Arachis ipaensis
Lineage: Eukaryota; Viridiplantae; Streptophyta; Magnoliopsida; Fabales; Fabaceae
Source: RefSeq, a predicted model, not a curated record
GUUAAAAAAAAAAAGAAGAAAAUCCAAAUCAUGCAGAGAUGAAUCAUGCAUUGUUCUAUUUUAGGAAUUUAUGAAUUGGAACUUAUGAUGAAAGUAUCAAU